This 351-nucleotide ribosomal RNA is filed under the name uncultured Pseudomonas sp. RNAcentral describes it as "bacterial SSU rRNA". It matches the Rfam family "Bacterial small subunit ribosomal RNA", at positions 1031 to 1382 of the family's 1533-position model. The record is from RNAcentral. Lineage: Bacteria; Pseudomonadati; Pseudomonadota; Gammaproteobacteria; Pseudomonadales; Pseudomonadaceae.
GACACAGGUGCUGCAUGGCUGUCGUCAGCUCGUGCGUGAGAUGUUGGGUUAAGUCCCGUAACGAGCGCAACCCUUGUCCUUAGUUACCAGCACGUUAUGGUGGGCACUCUAAGGAGACUGCCGGUGACAAACCGGAGGAAGGUGGGGAUGACGUCAAGUCAUCAUGGCCCUUACGGCCUGGGCUACACACGUGCUACAAUGGUCGGUACAAAGGGUUGCCAAGCCGCGAGGUGAAGCUAACCCCAUAAAACCGAUCGUAGUCCGGAUCGCAGUCUGCAACUCGACUGCGUGAAGUCGGAAUCGCUAGUAAUCGUGAAUCAGAAUGUCACGGUGAAUACGUUCCCGGGCCUU